This 1470-nucleotide ribosomal RNA is filed under the name metagenome. RNAcentral's name for it is "bacterial SSU rRNA". It matches the Rfam family "Bacterial small subunit ribosomal RNA". The record is from RNAcentral.
AGAGUUUGAUCAUGGCUCAGGACGAACGCUGGCGGCACGCUUAACACAUGCAAGUCGAACGAGAGAAGAGGAGCUUGCUUUUCUGAUCUAGUGGCGGACGGGUGAGCAACACGUGAGCAAUCUGCCUUUCAGAGGGGGAUACCGAUUGGAAACGAUCGUUAAUACCGCAUAACAUAAUUGAACCGCAUGAUUUGAUUAUCAAAGAUUUAUCGCUGAAAGAUGAGCUCGCGUCUGAUUAGCUAGUUGGUAAGGUAACGGCUUACCAAGGCGACGAUCAGUAGCCGGACUGAGAGGUUGAUCGGCCACAUUGGGACUGAGACACGGCCCAGACUCCUACGGGAGGCAGCAGUGGGGAAUAUUGCACAAUGGAGGAAACUCUGAUGCAGCGAUGCCGCGUGAGGGAAGAAGGUUUUAGGAUUGUAAACCUCUGUCUUCAGGGACGAAAAAAGACGGUACCUGAGGAGGAAGCUCCGGCUAACUACGUGCCAGCAGCCGCGGUAAUACGUAGGGAGCGAGCGUUGUCCGGAAUUACUGGGUGUAAAGGGAGCGUAGGCGGGAUCGCAAGUCAGAUGUGAAAACUAUGGGCUUAACCCAUAAACUGCAUUUGAAACUGUGGUUCUUGAGUGAAGUAGAGGUAAGCGGAAUUCCUAGUGUAGCGGUGAAAUGCGUAGAUAUUAGGAGGAACAUCAGUGGCGAAGGCGGCUUACUGGGCUUUAACUGACGCUGAGGCUCGAAAGCGUGGGGAGCAAACAGGAUUAGAUACCCUGGUAGUCCACGCCGUAAACGAUGAUUACUAGGUGUGGGGGGACUGACCCCUUCCGUGCCGCAGCAAACGCAAUAAGUAAUCCACCUGGGGAGUACGACCGCAAGGUUGAAACUCAAAGGAAUUGACGGGGGCCCGCACAAGCAGUGGAGUAUGUGGAUUAAUUCGAAGCAACGCGAAGAACCUUACCAGGUCUUGACAUCGUAUGCAUAGCUCAGAGAUGAGUGAAAUCUCUUCGGAGACAUAUAGACAGGUGGUGCAUGGUUGUCGUCAGCUCGUGUCGUGAGACGUUGGGUUAAGUCCCGCAACGAGCGCAACCCUUACUGUUAGUUGCUACGCAAGAGCACUCUAGCAGGACUGCCGUUGACAAAACGGAGGAAGGUGGGGAUGACGUCAAAUCAUCAUGCCCCUUAUGACCUGGGCCUCACACGUACUACAAUGGCUGUCAACAGAGGGAAGCAAAGCCGCGAGGUGGAGCGAACCCCUAAAAGCAGUCUUAGUUCGGAUUGUAGGCUGCAACCCGCCUACAUGAAGUCGGAAUUGCUAGUAAUCGCAGAUCAGCAUGCUGCGGUGAAUACGUUCCCGGGCCUUGUACACACCGCCCGUCACGCCAUGGGAGUCGGUAACACCCGAAGCCUGUAGUCUAACCGCAAGGAGGACGCAGUCGAAGGUGGGAUUGAUGACUGGGGUGAAGUCGUAACAAGGUA